GACGAACGCUGGCGGCGUGCCUAAUACAUGCAAGUAGAACGCUGAAGAGAGGAGCUUGCUCCUCUUGGAUGAGUUGCGAACGGGUGAGUAACGCGUAGGUAACCUGCCUUGUAGCGGGGGAUAACUAUUGGAAACGAUAGCUAAUACCGCAUAACAAUGGAUGACACAUGUCAUUUAUUUGAAAGGGGCAAUUGCUCCACUACAAGAUGGACCUGCGUUGUAUUAGCUAGUAGGUGAGGUAAUGGCUCACCUAGGCGACGAUACAUAGCCGACCUGAGAGGGUGAUCGGCCACACUGGGACUGAGACACGGCCCAGACUCCUACGGGAGGCAGCAGUAGGGAAUCUUCGGCAAUGGGGGCAACCCUGACCGAGCAACGCCGCGUGAGUGAAGAAGGUUUUCGGAUCGUAAAGUUCUGUUGUAAGUCAAGAACGGGUGUGAGAGUGGAAAGUUCACACUGUGACGGUAGCUUACCAGAAAGGGACGGCUAACUACGUG
Molecule: ribosomal RNA, 497 nt
Filed under: uncultured bacterium
Lineage: Bacteria
Description: partial 16S ribosomal RNA
Rfam family: Bacterial small subunit ribosomal RNA
Source: RNAcentral